CACACUCAAGUGGCAAGAUUAAGGGGUUAUGAUCGUUUCCCGUAAUUGUACGUCGGAUCAUAUUAGGUUUUUACUUUCCUGCGGUACCGCAGGAAGUUCUGUUGAGACCAUCUCAUGUCUACCCUGAGUGGCCGGUUCUGAAUUGGUACCAGUUCGAGCUUGACUGUUUUAUGAUACAUAGUAUGGCCUAUGUAUUCAGCGUGCAUAUAGAGUUUUCUGAUAUAGAAACUGUUAAUCUUUACUCCCCUGAAACCAGGGGGUGAUGCGAAUAAGACCCGACGUAUUUGGGGAUCAUAACCCUCGUUCUCUUUAGGCUGAACCUUGAGGAACUUGAGCAUCCAUUGCUACCAAUGGUGCACAGAUUUGUCAGUUAAAUCAAUCAUGUCGGCAUUCUGUAAUCAUGUCAGACCUCGUCAUUCUAAGUGAACUGUGGCCGUUAUUUCCUCA
This 447-nucleotide long non-coding RNA is filed under the name Mytilus galloprovincialis (Mediterranean mussel). Lineage: Eukaryota; Metazoa; Mollusca; Bivalvia; Mytilida; Mytilidae. The record is from RNAcentral.